Long non-coding RNA from Gigantopelta aegis, 582 nucleotides. RefSeq lists it as uncharacterized. The transcript is spliced from 4 exons. NCBI's taxonomy places the organism in Eukaryota, Metazoa, Mollusca, Gastropoda, Neomphalida, Peltospiridae. The record is from RefSeq and is a predicted model, not a curated record.
CAUUCAAUAGCCGAUGAUUAAUUAAAUUAAUCAAUGUGUUGUAGUUGUUUUGUUAAAAAAAAAAAAAAAAAAAGUUUAACUUUCAGCUAUAAAAUACAAUAUAUUUACAGUAAUUUACUGCUUGAUUUUCAUAUUUCAGAUGAGGAUUACUCUAACCCUGACUGUCCUGCUAGUCGCGGCUGUGUGCAGUACUGAUGCCUGGAGACGUUUUAGAGUGCGCUUCAGAGGAGUGCGCAGAGUGUGGCGUAAAGUUAAACCAAUCGCAAUACAAGCAGCAAGGUGCUACGUCAUCACACACGGUAUCGGGGCCGCUGUGGCGUUGGGAAAAAGAAGUGCGAAUGAAUUUGAUACUAACACGGAUGGUGUCAUAGAUCAGCCAGAACUCGAGUCGUUUCUUAAUACCAGGGAUGCAGUCAGAUUUCUUCAAUUGACUGGUAACGAUAAAAUUGAUGUUGAAGAAUUUCAGCAAGCAAUGGAUGAGGCGAGACGUCAUUAUUGAGUAAAUUUAAUAAAGGUUCAUUGGCCAAUACGUGAGAUGACGAAUCUACCAAAUUAUUUUAUCCUAAUAAAGCUUAGAAUAAC